RNAcentral lists this long non-coding RNA (855 nucleotides) under Homarus americanus (American lobster). RNAcentral describes it as "uncharacterized LOC121858134, transcript variant X1". Lineage: Eukaryota; Metazoa; Arthropoda; Malacostraca; Decapoda; Nephropidae. The record is from RNAcentral.
UAAGAGAUUAACCCUCGUCCUCCCUGCGUCGCCUCAGUAGGAAGUUUCAAGGACCAACAACACAUCUCGGUAUGACAAGCUAAGACUCAACUAAACAAACUGAUGAAACACCUCUGACCUGUGGGACACACUUGUAUGUGAUGCCAUCAACAGCAACUGAUGAAACACCUCUGACCUGUGGGACACACUUGUAUGUGAUGCCAUCAACAGCAACUGAUGAAACACCUCUGACCUGUGGGACACACUUGUAUGUGAUGCCAUCAACAGCAACUGAUGAAACACCUCCGACCUGUGGGAGGUUGGAGGGAGGCAUAAGGUCGAGCAUGACAACCAUUACUGGUGUUGGCUGGGCAGAAGCCGUCACUUGUGCACCAAGAUGUCUUCACGUUUUAGCUCUCUGGUCUGUAGUCUCAAAUGUAAAGUAUGUUGAAUAUUUCUCCUAAGUUAAGAUGCAAGGUUGUAUCUGAUUGUGUGAUUCAAGGUGAUGGAAUCUCAAAGGUAUGUUGAAUAUUUCUUAUAAAUUAAGAUGUAAAAAUGUAUCUGAUUGGUGACAUAAGAUACAACAUUGGUCAAGGAUGAGUUGUCCUAAUUUAUUUAGUAUGGAUCAGGAAGCUGAUUCUAGGACUGUAGUUAGCCUGAUUAAAACUCGGGCCUUCGUUGAUGAGCAGCAGCAAUUUGACAGUAAUUACAUAAGAUCAUCGGAAUCGUCUUAGUGAUGUGCAAACCGAUAAAGGAUUUUUUAAUGCUAGAUGCGAUUGUAUUUUUUAAAACUCAAUCUCCACUGAGUUGGAGGUACAGCCCAGGUCAAGAGGCCUACAACCACAAAAUCUUUGUCAUAAGACAAUUUUUUUUUUU